GUAUACUAUCUAGCGAUCACCAUGACGGAAUGUCUAGAGACUGGAACAACUGCGCGGCUGACGUUUCCGUUUCCCGCUAAAAUUCGACGUUACAAUUGUGUACGAUUUCCAUUUUAACUUGACAAUUUUAACUUACACUAUGCCCUCAAGUAUUUUACAAAAUGUUCCUAAUUAUUUUAUCGCUUUUACAUGUUUUCCUUCGACAUAUUCAUUCCGUUUUCACAC
This is a non-coding RNA of Paramuricea clavata, 225 nucleotides long. Lineage: Eukaryota; Metazoa; Cnidaria; Anthozoa; Malacalcyonacea; Plexauridae. The record is from the annotation of a GenBank genome assembly.